CCACUCUCAUGUCCUUAUCACUUUUCCAGCCCAGCUUCUUCACUAACUGUUGGACGGAGAACUGAUAAGGGUGUGCGAGUGA
Acanthisitta chloris (rifleman) is the source of this 82-nucleotide microRNA precursor. It matches the Rfam family "mir-184 microRNA precursor family". Lineage: Eukaryota; Metazoa; Chordata; Aves; Passeriformes; Acanthisittidae. The record is from Rfam.